RNAcentral lists this long non-coding RNA (222 nucleotides) under Capsicum annuum. Its description in RNAcentral is "long non-coding RNA (CANN_LNC008075)". Lineage: Eukaryota; Viridiplantae; Streptophyta; Magnoliopsida; Solanales; Solanaceae. The record is from RNAcentral.
GUGUUGUUCUUCUCGUAGUGAGUUUUUUAAAUUAUAUAAACUAUCACAUGUACUUUUAUCUAAAUUUUCUAAGGUUUUUUCUAUCCAUACUAAUUUUUCUUUUAGGUCUUUCAUUAUUUGUCUAAUUCGGUUUCUAUAAUUAAUUUCAUUAUUUAGAUUUUCUUGAUUUUCUCUAGUUUGUCUAAUAUAUUCUAACAUAUCUUAAUCUGAAUAAUAUCCUUC